Molecule: ribosomal RNA, 324 nt
Filed under: uncultured eukaryote
Lineage: Eukaryota
Description: partial 18S ribosomal RNA
Rfam family: Eukaryotic small subunit ribosomal RNA
Source: RNAcentral
CCCUUAGACACUCUAGGCGGCACGCGCGCUACAAUGGGUGGAAGACCGUGUUACUGCCUUCGAAAGAAGGGGUGAAUCACGAAUUCUUACCCGUGAAUGGGAUAGUUUGUUGCAAUUUUCGGACUUGAACUAGGAAUCCCUUGUAAGCAUGCUCAAGAAUAGCGUGUUGAUUACGUCCCUGCCCUUUGUACACACCGCCCGUCGCUCCUACCGAUUGAAUGAUCCGAUGAAUAUCAUGGAUUGAGGAUGCAAGUAGGUUAGCCUAUCUUCAUCUUCGAGAAGUGAAGUAAAUCUUAUCAUUUAGAGGAAGGAGAAGUCGUAACA